GACGAACGCUGGCGGCGUGCCUAACACAUGCAAGUCGAACGAGGUCCAUCCUUCGGGAGAAGACCUAGUGGCGAACGGGGUGAGUAACACGUGAAGAACCUGCCCCGAAGACCGGGAUAACCCUCCGAAAGGAGAGCUAAUACCGGAUACCCCCACCGAACCGCAUGGUUUGGUGAGGAAAUGGAUUCCGCUUCGGGAGGGCUUCGCGGCCUAUCAGCUAGUUGGUGGGGUAACGGCCCACCAAGGCAUCGACGGGUAGCUGGUCUGAGAGGACGAUCAGCCACACUGGGACUGAGACACGGCCCAGACUCCUACGGGAGGCAGCAGUGGGGAAUCUUGCGCAAUGGGCGAAAGCCUGACGCAGCAACGCCGCGUGGGGAUGAAGGCUCUCGGGUUGUAAACCCCUUUCAGCAGGGACGAAUCAAGACGGUACCUGCAGAAGAAGCCCCGGCUAACUACGUGCCAGCAGCCGCGG
Molecule: ribosomal RNA, 475 nt
Filed under: uncultured bacterium
Lineage: Bacteria
Description: bacterial SSU rRNA
Rfam family: Bacterial small subunit ribosomal RNA
Source: RNAcentral